AUAUGCUACGAAUCUUGGUGAUACCUAGCAAUUUUGUACCCAACAGAGCAAAAAAUUCCUCUUGAGAUGUUUUGCAUAGCUAAACUUUGCUCAUUGUGCUUCCAUUCUAUGCAGCCUUGUGCCACCAUGGUGGCCUGGAGCGGCAAUUCUCGCCAAGAAUGGCAGCAGAUGCUGGCCAGCCAUUGGAUUACUUGGAGGGACACAUUGGAGGCUUCCUGCAAUCCCAGGUGUAAAUAAGGGUGGGGGAUUCAGAGCUGCAUCAGGGAUGUGCUCAGAUUCAACUUUUGUCAACUGGUGCCACAAGUCGGUUCUAAUGCUUUUGUUAUGCAUCAUUUAGCAGAAGAAGCAACGUUGUGCAUAAUUCCAUGGCCUGAUUUAUCCUAUUACAUUAUUUUGUAUUUUGUGCAUUAGCUAAAGAUUGCAGGUUUCUUUUCCUAUGCUGAUGUCAGAUUGUCAUCUCCGCCACAAGAGCUGUUGCUGGACUGGUUUUAGAGUGCUAAUCAUCCAAGUGACUUCCAUGGUCGCCCACUAAUACGUGAGCUACAGAGAUGCAGGGAUGCAGCCCUGUCUUGAAGACAUAUAAGCCUUCAUUCCUUUGAGAGCAAAAGUUUGUGAAAAUGGUGUGCUUUAAUAAAUUUUAUCCUUUGCUGCCCUCCCUGGUUGGCUGAUUUAUGGAGGUUGAGUCGGCUAGAUGUUUAGAUGCGUCCCCUUUGUUUACAGUAAGUUUCUUGUAGAAGUUCAACUGAAUAACAGUUGACCCAAACGGGGUAUCAUGAAGAGAGUCUCAUCGCAUGUCUCAUUGCCUCAGAGGCUGAUAUCAGUCUUGAUCUGUUGCGGUUACUAAUUGAUAAGCCAGGGCUCACGCAUCGGCAAAACGAUGGCUUUGAUAGUGUAAUGCAGUCAUCGGCAAAACGAUGACUUUGAUACCUGCAUCCCGUACUGGGUUUGACUCCCCAUUCUCAAUACGAACACACUUCGGUGUGCCAAGUGGACCACACCCCCUUAUGAAUGAGGCAUGGGAGGCACUCAGGAAAUUUGUACUGUAUUUUCACGGCCAACCAGUUGGUACAAUUGUUGCGGUAGAUCAUUCAUCUGAGAAAGUGCUCAAUUAUGAUCAGCGCAUUUUCCCCUCACGUGACCUCAUAUUUUGGUUAUCCAUGCAAUCCAGCAAUUGAAGCACUAUUUGGCUCAUCCAUGAGAAGCACAAAAGAUCAUACAUGGAGUUGACGAAGAAACUUUACGGAUCUCAAUUUUACCUGUGAGCUUCUUCAGAUCCAUUCACCGAGGGAGGUAUCUUCCAACUUUUUAGUUCUAUUUUUUGCAGUAUAUGGUUCCAUAUCUGGCUAUAUUUUUCACAAAAUAGAGGUAAUAAAGGAACGAACUGAAGGUUUUUUAUUUUUGUAAAUAUGUGUCACUUUCUGUUUGAUGGGAUUUGUAUAAUUUGUUGAGUAUUCUUCUGUUCAUGGCAAAUGAAGCUUUUUCUUUAUAGAGCUGGACUGUAGGAACUGAUUGUGAGGGUAUGGACUGUGUUCUUGCUGAUCGAUGGCGCCGGCCAGCUGGACCUAUUGGUGUUUGACUGUUUGGUAAUUUGGCCCUGAGAAGAUUUGUUGUCUUCAAAUACAGCUAAAUGUUGUUUGCAAAUACUCAGGGGUGUAUAUGCACACAGACUUGGUAAGACUCUCUUUACGUAUACCACUGCUUCUAUUUCCUUUCCCAGACUGUUUUUAGGUUCAUUUUCACACAUUUCGGGUUCUUGCGACAUAAAUAUAAGAUUAGUGAAGCAAUGAUACUCAUAUUAUUUUUUGUUACUGACACAUCAAUUUGCGAGGGUGCCCCCCAUGCCUCACCUCGCCUGAUCGUAGUGAGACACAAUGAAACAUAAGGUAAAUAUCUUCUCAUUCUAAUACGUUGGAUCCCUUAUGUCUUGUUUCAGCUAAUAUUUCUUUCUAUUUUUUAUUCAUUAGAGCUUGUGGUCAUUAAUUUUUCAACGUUACUAAUAAUUAUGGAUCUUUAUCAUCAAACACAAGGAAAGAGCAACUUAAUGAGCGCUCUUCUCAGCAGAGAAUCAUUAAGUCACUCAUUUCAGCCCUCGCGCCAUAUGGCCCCGGCAGCAUCCGACGACAAUGGGAUGGCCCCCGCUCCCUCGCUCCCCGAGUGAGGUUGUCGCCGACGAGGGGGAAUCGCAUGAGCCGCCGCCUCGAGCCGCCAUCAGCCCAGCUCGUGCCCUCUUCCCCGUUAGCCAGCCAUACGGGCAUCCGUAUGUGUCGCUGCUGCUCCGCCUCUUCAUCCUCUGCAUCUAAAGGUGGAGCACGUGAACAAGACAGGCUAGGUAUUGCAGCGCCCGGGGACAAAGCGUCGAUGAUGGCGACCUAGCGACUCGCAUUGUCCGAGGUAUACAAGUUACGGUAGAUGUCUCAACAUCUUCCAUCGAACCGGUUUCACAAAUUUAAUCUCAAGUGCAAGAUGCUCGCGUGUGUCUCCAACCUCGGGCCCGCUAGAUCUUGAUUCGGUUUGUCCCUUUCUUAGAUACCUGAAUAGUGUAUUGUGUUGUUUUGCACCAAAAAUAGGAACCAAUUGGUGUACUACUUAAUAUAUUUGAAAGUUUGGCUUGUGAAAUAUAA
Lolium perenne is the source of this 2621-nucleotide long non-coding RNA. RefSeq lists it as uncharacterized. The record is from RefSeq and is a predicted model, not a curated record. NCBI's taxonomy places the organism in Eukaryota, Viridiplantae, Streptophyta, Magnoliopsida, Poales, Poaceae.